Molecule: ribosomal RNA, 899 nt
Filed under: Hypomyces samuelsii
Lineage: Eukaryota; Fungi; Ascomycota; Sordariomycetes; Hypocreales; Hypocreaceae
Description: LSU rRNA
Rfam family: Eukaryotic large subunit ribosomal RNA
Source: RNAcentral
UAGCAUAUCAAUAAGCGGAGGAAAAGAAACCAACAGGGAUUGCCCCAGUAACGGCGAGUGAAGCGGCAACAGCUCAAAUUUGAAAUCUGGCCCCUCGGGCCCGAGUUGUAAUUUGUAGAGGAUGCUUUUGGCAAGGUGCCGCCCGAGUUCCCUGGAACGGGACGCCGCAGAGGGUGAGAGCCCCGUCUGGCUGGCCGCCGAGCCUCUGUAAAGCUCCUUCGACGAGUCGAGUAGUUUGGGAAUGCUGCUCAAAAUGGGAGGUAUAUGUCUUCUAAAGCUAAAUAUUGGCCAGAGACCGAUAGCGCACAAGUAGAGUGAUCGAAAGAUGAAAAGCACUUUGAAAAGAGGGUUAAACAGUACGUGAAAUUGUUGAAAGGGAAGCGCUCAUGACCAGACUUGGGCUUGGCGGAUCAUCCGGCGUUCUCGCCGGUGCACUUCGCCUCGCCCAGGCCAGCAUCAGUUCGCGCCGGGGGACAAAAGCUUCGGGAAUGUGGCUCCUCCGGGAGUGUUAUAGCCCGUUGCAUAAUACCCUGGGGCGGACUGAGGUUCGCGCAUCUGCAAGGAUGCUGGCGUAAUGGUCAUCAGCGACCCGUCUUGAAACACGGACCAAGGAGUCGUCUUCGUAUGCGAGUGUUCGGGUGUCAAACCCCUACGCGUAAUGAAAGUGAACGCAGGUGAGAGCUUCGGCGCAUCAUCGACCGAUCCUGAUGUUCUCGGAUGGAUUUGAGUAAGAGCAUACGGGGCCGGACCCGAAAGAAGGUGAACUAUGCCUGUAUAGGGUGAAGCCAGAGGAAACUCUGGUGGAGGCUCGCAGCGGUUCUGACGUGCAAAUCGAUCGUCAAAUAUGGGCAUGGGGGCGAAAGACUAAUCGAACCUUCUAGUAGCUGGUUUCCGCCGAU